RNAcentral lists this transfer RNA (85 nucleotides) under Felis catus (domestic cat). It matches the Rfam family "tRNA". Rfam says of the family: Transfer RNA (tRNA) molecules are approximately 80 nucleotides in length. Their secondary structure includes four short double-helical elements and three loops (D, anti-codon, and T loops). The record is from Rfam by way of RNAcentral. Lineage: Eukaryota; Metazoa; Chordata; Mammalia; Carnivora; Felidae.
GCCUGGGUGGCUCAGUCGGUUGAGCGUCCGACUUCAGCUCAGGUCAUGAUCUCAGGGUUUGUGGGUUCAAGCCCCGCCUCAGGCU